UUCUAAGUUCUUAUCAAUGGUUGAAGAAAAAGGAAAAUGAUUCCAAUUUCGCGUCUUAAAUGAAAUGAGCAGACUAUAAUCGACAGUAUUCUAUGAGAUCCGAUAGUAUAGUAUGAUAAGAAAGAAAGAUUCAUAUUUUUCUUUCUUUCUUACCAUACUAUAAUAGUAGUGUUAUUGUAGUGUAUAAAGUUGUACUUUAUAAUAAAGACAGAGGCUUAGUGUUGAUCAAUCUACAAUAUUAUCUUGAUAUAUGUAGAUAUCAAGAUAAUAUAUGGAAUUUACAUAGGACCCUUUCUAUUUUUUUGAUACACCUAUUUGUUCCGAAUCAAUCUGAAAUAAUUAUCUUGUCUUACUUUAUAGUUCUAAUUUUUAGAUUUAGAUUUCUUAUUAUUUGCAAUCUGAGUCUCGUGAUCUAUCGAAAGAAUCAAAUCAACGAAAGAAAAAGGAUUAUUCUGGGCAUAUUUUAAUAAAAUAAAGUAAGAAUCUUUUUUCUAGCAUUCCGAAGAAAAAAUGGAUUGAUUCAUUGACAGGAGUUCUAUGAGCACUUCUUUAGAUUUCGAAAGGGAAUAAAAAAUAAACCUCACAGAUUUUUAAUGCUUGAACCUUGAUAUGAAAUGAGUCGAUAAAGUAGAAAUUAAAUUUCGAAAAUAAUAAAACAAGUGGUAAGUGCGCAAAAUGUGACUCGCCUAAGGCAAAAUUUUAUUAUGCAUAGUAUCUCGUUAGACAACCACUAUGUCUAUAUUUUUUUCUCAUAUAAAGUGCGUAUAUACUACAAAACGC
This 780-nucleotide long non-coding RNA is filed under the name Panax ginseng (ginseng). RNAcentral describes it as "long non-coding RNA (PGIN_LNC002219)". Lineage: Eukaryota; Viridiplantae; Streptophyta; Magnoliopsida; Apiales; Araliaceae. The record is from RNAcentral.